AGUGAACGCUGGCGGUAGGCCUAACACAUGCAAGUCGAACGGCAGCACAGUAAGAGCUUGCUCUUACGGGUGGCGAGUGGCGGACGGGUGAGGAAUACAUCGGAAUCUACUUUUUCGUGGGGGAUAACGUAGGGAAACUUACGCUAAUACCGCAUACGACCUACGGGUGAAAGCAGGGGAUCUUCGGACCUUGCGCGAUUGAAUGAGCCGAUGUCGGAUUAACUAGUUGGCGGGGUAAAGGCCCACCAAGGCGACGAUCCGUAGCUGGUCUGAGAGGAUGAUCAGCCACACUGGAACUGAGACACGGUCCAGACUCCUACGGGAGGCAGCAGUGGGGAAUAUUGGACAAUGGGCGCAAGCCUGAUCCAGCCAUACCGCGUGGGUGAAGAAGGCCUUCGGGUUGUAAAGCCCUUUUGUUGGGAAAGAAAAGCAGCAGGUUAAUACCCCGCUGUUCUGACGGUACCCAAAGAAUAAGCUCCGGCUAACUUCGUG
Molecule: ribosomal RNA, 492 nt
Filed under: uncultured bacterium
Lineage: Bacteria
Description: partial 16S ribosomal RNA
Rfam family: Bacterial small subunit ribosomal RNA
Source: RNAcentral